UACGUAGGGGGCAAGCGUUAUCCGGAUUUACUGGGUGUAAAGGGAGCGCAGACGGCAGUGCAAGUCUGAUGUGAAAGCCCGGGGCUCAACCCCGGAACUGCAUUGGAAACUGUACAGCUUGAGUGUCGGAGAGGUAAGCGGAAUUCCUAGUGUAGCGGUGAAAUGCGUAGAUAUUAGGAGGAACACCGGUGGCGAAGGCGGCUUACUGGACGAUGACUGACGUUGAGGCUCGAAAGCGUGGGGAGCAAACAGGAUUAGAUACCCCCGUAGUCCCUGA
RNAcentral lists this ribosomal RNA (277 nucleotides) under uncultured prokaryote. RNAcentral describes it as "partial 16S ribosomal RNA". It matches the Rfam family "Bacterial small subunit ribosomal RNA", at positions 524 to 800 of the family's 1533-position model. The record is from RNAcentral.